Molecule: long non-coding RNA, 195 nt
Organism: Gossypium arboreum
Lineage: Eukaryota; Viridiplantae; Streptophyta; Magnoliopsida; Malvales; Malvaceae
Exons: 3
Source: RefSeq, a predicted model, not a curated record
GGAUUCACAACGGAUAUGGGGUAGGAAGGUAUUUGGAACGUUCUUCAAUGAGUAGAUCUCUUGUGAGGAUUAAAGGCUACUGAUCGAGGAGUGUGUGAAAAGCUUGGAUCAUUGGAGUGACUAAAUCUAGUCAUCAACAUCGGCAAAGGAGAAAUCGCAUAGGAGAUCUCGUCAAGGAAUAUCUCAAAUCAGGUG